GUAGGUCGGUUCCUUGGCAGCCGGCGGGAGAGGCUGUGUGGGGUUAGGCUCCCCAGACAAGGGACUCUCUGCUGCAAAAGGGAGUCCUCCAUUUUAUGAAAAGCUGGGAAGAGCCAUCCAGUCAUGGUAUCUGCGAGGGAGUUUCCCCACGGUCAGGCCUCUGGGGGAAAAAAAAAACAUGUGUGGGAACAUCCAUUCUGCCCGAUUGCUGCUGCUUCUACUUGCUUCAGCAGUGGGAGAGAAUAGCACAUUAUGCCAGUACCAAGAGAUCACCAACAAGAACAGCAGCAGCUGUGGAGUGGAGCUAACCUGAGCCUGGGAGACAAUGAGCGUAAGGGGGAACUUCACAGGAGGGACACUAUGGUCUACGCAGACACGGAAUCAAUCCCUCCAUUGAGUACUUUUGCUGGUCAUCUUUAAGGGAGCUUUUCACUGGAUCCCUGCUAGAUGUUUUGAGGUUCAUGUUUGAUUAUAUUUUGAUCUCCUUCUAUCGAGUAGUUUAUGUUGGCUGGUUAUAUACUUAACAAACUCACUCAUUCAAAACAAA
This 547-nucleotide long non-coding RNA is filed under the name Mus musculus (house mouse). Its description in RNAcentral is "pluripotency associated transcript 21". Lineage: Eukaryota; Metazoa; Chordata; Mammalia; Rodentia; Muridae. The record is from RNAcentral.